This 492-nucleotide ribosomal RNA is filed under the name uncultured bacterium. RNAcentral describes it as "partial 16S ribosomal RNA". It matches the Rfam family "Bacterial small subunit ribosomal RNA", at positions 29 to 507 of the family's 1533-position model. The record is from RNAcentral.
AGUGAACGCUGGCGGUAGGCCUAACACAUGCAAGUCGAACGGCAGCACAGUAAGAGCUUGCUCUUACGGGUGGCGAGUGGCGGACGGGUGAGGAAUACAUCGGAAUCUACUUUUUCGUGGGGGAUAACGUAGGGAAACUUACGCUAAUACCGCAUACGACCUACGGGUGCAAGCAGGGGAUCUUCGGACCUUGCGCGAUUGAAUGAGCCGAUGUCGGAUUAGCUAGUUGGCGGGGUAAAGGCCCACCAAGGCGAAGAUCCGUAGCUGGUCUGAGAGGAUGAUCAGCCACAAUGGAGCCGAGACACGGUCCCGACUCCUACGGGAGGCAGCAGUGGGGAAUAUUGGACAAUGGGCGCAAGCCUGAUCCAGCCAUACCGCGUGGGUGAAGAAGGCCUUCGGGUUGUAAAGCCCUUUUGUUGGGAAAGAAAAGCAGCAGGUUAAUACCCCGCUGUUCUGACGGUACCCAAAGAAUAAGCACCGGCUAACUUCGUG